AUCAUCAUCAUCUGCAAUUGCUGAGGAGAGGGAAACAGCGUUUUUUAGGAAGGAGGGCAACAAGAUGGGAGCUUGUUGCUCCCAUUUCCCUCCUUUCUCCCAUUUUCCUCCUUUCUCAAGAUCCUCUCUCUGGAAGGAGAGAGAAGCAGGGCUUAAACAGGAAAACCUCGGGAGAAGGAUGGGGGUUGUGUCACAAUGAGAGUAGUGUUUCAGCUCUGGGUAGUUAUUAUUAUCUUAAAAAGUAAUAGAAUUAAAAUGUUUGUUUGGGGUAGCUGAGCUCCACUAUGAGACACUUUCUGAAUUUUUUUUUUUUUUUUUUUUUGUGUGAAUAAAAAUACAUUUAGAACUGAUACUUUAAAAUCUCCUUCAGAUGCAGUGGUUGCUUUCCAAGCCCCCAGGAAAUCCUGGAUGCAUCUUUAAUGUCUGCUAACAGCCAAGUAAGGAAGCUGAACAUAUUUUUCAGUGCAUCUUUAAUCCUGGAAAAAGCAAAUGAAGAUAGAAGAGACCUGGGCAUGAACUCAAGGCUUGCUGGAAGCAACAGGAAAGAGUCCCUUAGGCUUUGGUGUGACCUGCAAUGGUCCCUGCCCACCCAUGUGCUCACUCUCUCUGUGCCUGAGAUAAACACCAGACCCUUGGACAUCAUGAACUUGAGCCACUGGCCCUGGCCAGAGUGUGUUUUUCCCAAGGAUCUUCAACCCACCUGCAUUUCACAGAACUAUGAUUGCCUCAAAAAUAUUUCAGGAGUUUUUGCUGUAAGCUUACAUUUUUUAAGGGGUUGCAUAAUACAUUUUUCUAUCUUCUAUGGCAUCUUCAGACAAACAUGUCAGGAGAAACAUACUUAACACAGUAGAAUUUAAUUAUGCAUGAAAGUGCAUCAAAAUCCAUGCCAGCCUUUGGACCAGAAUAAUGGUACAAGCAUCUUCACAAAGAUUUGCUGGAUUUUGCCAAUAUAUGUUUCUUAGAGUAGCUAUGCUACUGCUUUGUUUUGGACAUGCAUGAAAUCUUUAUUUGUAUGUGUUCUUCAGUCACAUUUACUCUGUCUGUAUAUAAACAAAUGAGAGCAUCCAGCAAUGUGAUUUCAUGCAUUUAUCUCAAAGUUUAUGAUGAAAAUUUGGUGACAGAAAUAUACUUCCAGAACAACAGACCUUAUUGGAGCUUUCUUCUUCCCCUUACUUUAAAGACCUCCUUGUUUUACUGAUCUGUGAUUUUUUGCUUCAGUGAUAGUGAUUUAUAUUACAGAAUCAUUUACUGCCAGUAAUGGAUAUGUUGGUACUCACAAUCCUUUUGAUCAUUCUAAGCUGAAGAAAUCCUCCCAGUGGAAGAUCACAAGGAAAAAUCAAGUUCUAGUUUUCCAUUGAUACAUCUGCCCUCACUAGGUGGUGGCCUGAGUUCAAUUUAUCUAAUAUUGUGCAGAAAAUUUGUGGCCAAAGGUAGGCUGGAACCCUGAGUUUUUGUUUUCCCCAUUGCCCACAGUAAGAUUGCCCUAUGGAGGAGCCCAAGGGUUGUGCAGUUGUGUUAUUUCACAAAACACCUCUUUCAACAUGAAAAUAUCCUUUGUUUUUAUGAUUAAAUGGGCCCAGAUUUUAAAGUGCAGCAUGUGCUGUCUGCUCUUCUUUCCUCCUAAACAUGCUUUUAGAAAAUGACUGCAAAUUCUUGCCGAGCGAUUAUAGAGUGACAACUGCAGGAAAGCUUCAGCUCUGCACAAAAAUGAUUGAUGGUCAGUGGUGGACACCUGCAUAUUGUGCCCCUCUUGAAAUACAUUCACUCAAUCUCAGGGGCAUUCAUUUAAUCUAAACUGCAUUUUGCAAACUUGAGCACACUGCUCAAGUUGAAGGGAAGUAGGUUUUUAUUUUUUGACAGUAUUCAUUUGUGGGAAUAGUGUAUAACAUGGAAUGUGUAUUACUAUUCCUCUCAAAGAGGAAAGAUCUGGACACUUGCUGAGGAUGAGAUGUACUUCCGAAGUCCUGUUCCUUAAAAUUCAGUAAAAAUAGCCAAGCUCUUCCCUCACAGACACCACUUAAUUUGUUCACUCUUGGUGACAGUCAUUUAGUAUUUCAGGGGCUGCAGAACCUGCAGCUUGUAUCUCUUCAGAGAAGAAAAUUUUAUCUUCUGUCUCAUUAGCUUCCUUCCAAGUUCAUAAUUCUUUUCCUGUGCCAGGAAAUGUUUGCAAAGCUUCCAGUCUCAGAAAUUCCUUAUCAUUUUCACAGUGCUGUCGCUGUUUCAGUGUGUUUUUCCAUUGACUCCACCAGGCUCUGCAUCAGGCCAAUAAUGGCUAUUUGUCAGUGUAUCCAGGAGUUAUAUUGACCUGUAUCAUGCCAAAUUUCAUCAGAGUGUUUGCAAUUCCCGAGCUUUUUGGCACAGUAAGCAUGUUACAUAGUUGGCAAUGCUCAGAAAUUGCAGUUUUGCGGUGCUAGGAAAAUAAUCAUAAUAAUACUAUAUUUCCUAUCUGCUAAUGGGAAACAUGAAGUUCUUUUAAUUAAUCCAUAGGCUGCUGUUCUGAUGGGGGCAUUUGUCUCUCCACCACCCUCCCCUGCCCUAACAAAAUAGAUUUUCUGACAUUUCUGUGACCUCUUAGAGAAAGAAUUAGGUGCACAGUUACCAAGCAACAGAAAGUCAGGCAACACACUUUCGAAGCCCUCUAAUUGCCCAUAAUGGUAAGAGCAGCAUCCACGUUCACAAAAGCUUCAUAUUCUUGGUACUUACUCUGCUGCAGGAACUCAUUUACCUUUUAUUGCCAGUGUGGUGUUAAGCUGUAACCACCAAAGGAGGAGGUGGAAGUCUGAAGGCUCUGGAGCCUUGGAGCUGCUGUGCACAUAGAGGGCCAUAAGGAUUGUCAUUUUCACAAUUCAUGCCUCACAUUUCACUUAUCCAGAAUAUUUUAAGUGCUAAGUCACAAGAGAGAAGGCACAUUCAUGUCUACAAUACUAAAACCAAAGUGAAGGCAAAGGAAAAAUAACUUACAAAGUCUUUCAAAGAUUUAAAUGAGAGACCAAAGAAAGGCUUUAAAGCACAAUGUAUUCUGACAACUUAUCCUCUAAGGAUUUAAAAUGACAUGUUUCAUGAGUCACACAAUGAAAUCUCUAUGGGGGGUGGGGGAGAAAUACAUGAAUACAUGUUUGAGACUUUGAAGAGUUUUGGUUUUUUUCUCCUCCAGCUUGUGCCCUGAUGCAUGUGAGGAGUCAAAAUGUCCCCUCCUUGCAGGACAUAUCUGGGACACUGAGUGCCACUCCUUCCUGAAGCUUUUCCAAGCUUUUCCAUUUUAUCCAACAACUGUAGCAGUCUCCAUCCACUUUUCACAACCCAUUUUCCUCAAGGGGGAUUCAGGAAGUGUUUUUCCUCAGGCACUGUAGAAAAGGAGACCAUCAAGAGGGGACAGUCCAAGUCUUUGCCACUGGACAUUUUGGCUUUCCUGUGGAGGAUGGUGCUGGGCCAAGUGACAGUCACUGACUCCACUGUCCUGCUGCUGUUCCUUGAGGAAGCCCUUUCAAUCCUGAGUGGGAGAGGUGGUGUGUCUGUGCUCUGGGUGUCAGUGAUCAGCUUUCUCCAGCAAGGGGUCGUUUUUGUGUUCGAAAAAGGGCUUCUUGGUAUUUCUGUGUGUGCUUUCAUUUAUUUUCAAGCAUACACACGUUGUUCAUUAGAAAAAAAUAAAGCUCUAGAGCUUCCUUCUCAUGUCAUUUGCACUGGAGUUUACUCUGGCAAAGUUAAUAGACAUUAAAUUGUCAUACAUGAAGACAGGGCUGGAAACUUCAGCUUUUGGUCCCAAGAAAACUGUGAGCUGAGCUUGGCACUGUGAGCAAGAAAGCACCUUGCACAUGAGCUGUCUCUUCAAUACAUUUUUUUUUCCUUUUACUUCUGUCCUGCAGCAGAAAUGAGGUUUAAUGGAGAGGUAUUAUGGAAUGGAGGUGAAAUGGCCAAGGGCUCAGCCAUGCAAUCUGUCACAGGCUGUAGCUCCAGCCCAGCAAAGCCCAGAGGCAUCCAACACCUUUCAGAGAGACUCACAAAAUGAUACAAUUCUUCAAAAUCAGCCAUGAAUUGCCAAGAAACAUGCACACAGGGUAGGUGGGGACUCAGAAUUUUGAAUUUAGAGAGAAUAAAAAGAAUCUGGGGUUAAAGUAUCUACAUGCACAUAGACAUUUCAGCUGUGUUUUUCUAUUUAGGGCCUUUUUACUUCAAUGUCUGUGCAAUUACCACCAUUUCCAGUGGAGUUACUUUGAAAAUACUAUGUAGCUUCUUGUAGCUGUCUAAUUAACUUGUCUCAUGACUGUAAGUGGAUGUACCAAAAUUUCUAAUGUGGAAAGGACUUCUUUGGAACCAUGCUCUGAAGAUUCAAGAAUAUUUCUGCUGUUUUCAGUUCUAAGGGUGGUAUUGUUUGGAGACGCACAGCCUAGAGGCAUGAGAGGAAAGUGAGAGUUAUUGUGUUUGCCUAGUGUCUAAAAUGAAGAUAUUUUUCCUGGUUUUGGCUAGCCUGUUUUUAAUAGGAAUUGAUCAUACCGUGAAUUAGAAUUUCCAUUAGGAACUGCAUGUUAGAAAAGUAGAAGUAGCUCUGGCUGAAUUUGGACUUUUAUGUCUAUAGGGUCUCUUAGAGCAUGUUUAUGCUGAGUCUUGCUGUUAAUAUGGAAAUAAAAAUUACAGUUAUACUACCCCC
This is a non-coding RNA of Taeniopygia guttata (zebra finch), 4645 nucleotides long. Lineage: Eukaryota; Metazoa; Chordata; Aves; Passeriformes; Estrildidae. The record is from RefSeq and is a predicted model, not a curated record.